UAGGGAAUCUUCCACAAUGGACGAAAGUCUGAUGGAGCAAUGCCGCGUGAGUGAAGAAGGGUUUCGGCUCGUAAAACUCUGUUGUUAAAGAAGAGCACCUUUGAGAGUAACUGUUCAAGGGUUGACGGUAUUUAACCAGAAAACCACGGCUAACUACGUG
RNAcentral lists this ribosomal RNA (160 nucleotides) under uncultured bacterium. RNAcentral's name for it is "partial 16S ribosomal RNA". It matches the Rfam family "Bacterial small subunit ribosomal RNA", at positions 355 to 507 of the family's 1533-position model. The record is from RNAcentral.